This 253-nucleotide ribosomal RNA is filed under the name uncultured bacterium. Its description in RNAcentral is "partial 16S ribosomal RNA". It matches the Rfam family "Bacterial small subunit ribosomal RNA", at positions 524 to 776 of the family's 1533-position model. The record is from RNAcentral.
UACGUAGGUGGCAAGCGUUGUCCGGAUUUAUUGGGUUUAAAGGGUGCGUAGGCGGCUUUGUAAGUCAGUGGUGAAAUAUCGCAGCUUAACUGUGAGGGUGCCAUUGAUACUGCAAAGCUUGAGUACAGAUGAGGUAGGCGGAAUUGACGGUGUAGCGGUGAAAUGCUUAGAUAUCGUCAAGAACACCUAUAGCGAAGGCAGCUUACUAGGCUGUAACUGACGCUGAGGCACGAAAGUGUGGGGAUCAAACAGG